RNAcentral lists this RNase P RNA (467 nucleotides) under Planctomycetota bacterium. Its description in RNAcentral is "Planctomycetes bacterium (sediment metagenome) RNase P RNA component class A". It matches the Rfam family "Bacterial RNase P class A". From Rfam's summary of the family: Ribonuclease P (RNase P) is a ubiquitous endoribonuclease, found in archaea, bacteria and eukarya as well as chloroplasts and mitochondria. The record is from RNAcentral. Lineage: Bacteria; Pseudomonadati; Planctomycetota.
GAAGCCGGCCGGAUGGCCGCUGGUUCCCAAGGCAAGGGUCGCCAUAUCGGCUCGGAAGCUUGGGAGCGAGAGGAAAGUCCGGGCUCCACAGGGCAGGGUGGUGGGUAACGCCCACCGGCCGCGAGGCUAGGGAAAGUGCAACAGAAAGCAAACCGCCUCGCCGUGAGGCGCCAGGGGUCAACCCCGGGAGCCUUCGGCGCGGUAAGGGUGAAACGGUGAGGUAAGAGCUCACCAGCAGGCCGGGUGACCGGCCUGGCUAGGCAAACCCCACCCGGAGCAAGGUCAAGCAGGAGGCAGGGAGCCGAGCGUGCGACGGGUUCGCUCGCUGGGUCCCGCGGGCCGGCCCGGCCCGCCAUCGACCUCCGGGUAGACCGCUUGAGUCGCCGAGCAAUCGGCGUCCUAGAGAAAUGGCCAUCGCCCGCCCGUCCGGGCGGGAACAGAACCCGGCUUACAGGCUGGCUUCGGAA